Molecule: long non-coding RNA, 142 nt
Organism: Chiroxiphia lanceolata (lance-tailed manakin)
Lineage: Eukaryota; Metazoa; Chordata; Aves; Passeriformes; Pipridae
Exons: 3
Source: RefSeq, a predicted model, not a curated record
ACAUACUGACGAAGCAAUCGAUGUUGACCAGAUCAAAGUAUACCCCUGAGAUGGACUGAAAGACAGGACUGAGAAUGGAGGCCCUGAUCCCGACAACAUACUGAUGCAUCCUGAGGAAGUUGUCCUGAUCGGAUGAGCACAC